GGCCAGACUCCUACGGGAGGCAGCAGUGGGGGAUAUUGCACAAUGGGGGGAACCCUGAUGCAGCGACGCCGCGUGGGUGAAGAAGCGCCUCGGCGCGUAAAGCCCUGUCAGCAGGGAAGAAAAUGACGGUACCUGAAGAAGAAGCCCCGGCUAACUACGUGCCAGCAGCCGCGGUAAUACGUAGGGGGCAAGCGUUAUCCGGAUUUACUGGGUGUAAAGGGAGCGUAGACGGCAUGGCAAGUCAGAUGUGAAAGCCCGGGGCUCAACCCCGGGACUGCAUUUGAAACUGUCAGGCUGGAGUGCAGGAGAGGUAAGUGGAAUUCCUAGUGUAGCGGUGAAAUGCGUAGAUAUUAGGAGGAACACCAGUGGCGAAGGCGGCUUACUGGACUGUAACUGACGUUGAGGCUCGAAAGCGUGGGGAGCAAACAGGAUUAGAUACCCGAGUA
Molecule: ribosomal RNA, 446 nt
Filed under: uncultured bacterium
Lineage: Bacteria
Description: bacterial SSU rRNA
Rfam family: Bacterial small subunit ribosomal RNA
Source: RNAcentral